Oncorhynchus tshawytscha (Chinook salmon) is the source of this 3392-nucleotide long non-coding RNA. NCBI's taxonomy places the organism in Eukaryota, Metazoa, Chordata, Actinopteri, Salmoniformes, Salmonidae. The record is from Ensembl.
GUUUAUGUUCAGUAAUAUUGUUCUCUCCUCCUAUAUGUUGUAUUGUAUGCAGGCUCGCAGAAAGGGCUUUGUUUAUGUUCAGUAAUAUUGUUCUCUCCUCCUAUAUGUUGUAUUGUAUGCAGGCUCGCAGAAAGGGCUUUGUUUAUGUUCAGCCUUUUGAUUUGGCGUUUCUGUUUAACGUUGCUUGUGGCAUUGAAUUUAUAUAGACAUGUCAUGCUGCUUCCUAUUCAAGAUACUGAAGGGCCUUUUUUGUGCCUCUCCUUCAGUGGAGUGUUCUCCGCAUAGACAACAGAAGGGUACAGGAGGUAAACAGGAAGUGAACUGUGUGUGUGGUGUGUGAUGUCCCUUCUCACAACAGUCAGCAGUUUCAAGUGCAUCAUUACAUUGGUGUGACCGUGACAGAUAAGGUACAACAUCCAUCCUAUCCGUUUCAUCGGUUUAAAAAAAGAUGCCCCCCCCACACUUUUGAGAUGAAGUUGGAAGAUGAUCUCAUUUAAACUGAAUUGGGGAGAAACUGAGAGCAAUACGCUAUUUAUUAACUACUUGCAUAAGAGUGAGUGUAACUGCUUGCAUAUUUUAAGCAAUUUUUAAAGUUGUACAACUUUUUGAGUAAACAAUUUCAGUGCUUCUUAUAAAUUUAAAAAAUGAAACACCAUACUGACAAUUUGGAUGACAUUUUAGAAUCAGUAACAAAAUCUUUUAGCCAUAUAUACACACUGUGUGUACACAAUGAACAGGAUUCAAUACAAAGUUAAUUAACAAAUCUUACACUUUAUAAUGUAAUUUCAUUAGUGCUAAUGUUCCCCUGUCUAAAAUGUCAACCAAAUUUCGCAAAUGCAUCUGAUGUUUACAAGCAAUCCUGUAGAAAUAUGUUGUUAUUACUGUAAACAGUAUAAUCUCCAGGUCUACAUACUGUAGCUAUAUAGUGUUUCACAUCUAAUUCACAAGUCUACAUCUCUACAUGGCUCUGUAGUGUUUUCACAUCUAAUUCACAGGUCUACAUCUCUACAUGGCUCUGUAGUGUUUUCACAUCUAAUUCACAGGUCUACAUCUCUACAUGGCUCUGUAGUGUUUUCACAUCUAAUUCACAAGUCUACAUCUCUAUAUGGCUCUGUAGUGUUUUCACAUCUGAUUCACAAGUCUACAUGGCUCUGUAGUGUUUUCACAUCUAAUUCACAGGUCUACAUCUCUACAUGGCUCUGUAGUGUUUUCACAUCUAAUUCACAGGUCUACAUCUCUACAUGGCUCUGUAGUGUUUUCACAUCUAAUUCACAAGUCUACAUCUCUACAUGGCUCUGUAGUGUUUUCACAUCUAAUUCACAAGUCUACAUCUCUAUAUGGCUCUGUAGUGUUUUCACAUCUGAUUCACAAGUCUACAUGGCUCUGUAGUGUUUUCACAUCUAAUUCACAGGUCUACAUCUCUACAUGGCUCUGUAGUGUUUUCACAUCUAAUUCACAGGUCUACAUCUCUACAUGGCUCUGUAGUGUUUUCACAUUUAAUUCACAGGUCUACAUCUCUACAUGGCUCUGUAGUGUUUUCACAUUUAAUUCACAGGUCUACAUCUCUACAUGGCUCUGUAGUGUUUUCACAUCUAAUUCACAGGUCUACAUCUCUACAUGGCUCUGUAGUGUUUUCACAUCUAAUUCACAGGUCUACAUCUCUACAUGGCUCUGUAGUGUUUUCACAUCUAAUUUACAAGUCUACAUCUCUAUAUGGCUCUGUAGUGUUUUCUGUGGCUUACUGCCGGUGUAGCACGCCUGUUUGUGUGUGUGUUGUUUCUGUGAGUAUAUCGUAGUUUUAGUAGUCCACUGUAUCAAAACUGCUGUCUGCUUGCCCCGUCCUCAUAUCUAAAGAGCAGGGCAGGCUUCUAAUAAUGGGUACAUGUAGGGGUGUGCGCUUGUGUUUGCUUUACAUCGUCUUGGAUACAGUAAAGUCUGUUUUCUGAUGGUUUGUGUCUUGGUAUGCAUCACAAAUUAGCAACUGACUUUUUGAUGACUUCAUGAUUUUUAAGUGAUGACAUAAUCAACAAAACUUGAGUAUUUAUAGUAGUAACAGUGACAUGGCAAAGCCAUUCUCAUUAGGCUGAUGUCAAACCACAGCUACUGACUACUGUUACCACCUCAGCAGUGAUAUGCAUUCAAUAAGGUACCAGUUGUUUAUGAAAAAGGAUUGCAGCUAUAUGAUGGGUACUGGAUGUGUUUAAACCUCUUAACCUAAUUGUGACAGCAUUGACUAUGAUAUCUUACAAAAUAUAAAUAAGUAUCUAUUUCUUUUGUUUUCUGGGGGGUGGGGGGUGUGGCCUAGCCAGUCUCCAGACCUUAAUCCCAUAGAAAAUAUGUGGAGGGAGCUGAAGGUUUGAGUUGCCAAACAUCAGCCACGAAACCUUAAUGACUUGGAGAAAUCUGCAAAGAGGAGUGGGACAAAAUCCCUCCUGAGAUGUGUGCAAAUCUGGUGGCCAACUACAAGAAACUUCUGACCUCUGUGAUUACCAACAAGGGUUUUGCCACCAAGUACUAAGUUAUGUUUUGCAGAGGGGUCAAAUACUUAUUUCCCUCAUUAAAAUGCAAAUCAAUUUAUAACAUUUUUGACAUGCGUUUUUCUGGAUUUUUUUGUUGUUAUUCUGUCUCUCACUGUUCAAAUAAACCUACCAUUAAAAUUAUAGACGAAUCAUGUCUUUGUCAGUGGGAAAUGUACAAAAUCAGCAGGGGAUCAAAUACUUUUUUCCCUCACUGUAUGUGUGUGUAAAUAUUGUACAUAAUCAAUGCUGUAAUUUGGGGACUCUGUAUGCUUUUUGAUUGAGUGAUGCGUCUCCAGCUUUGUUCAAGCGAUAACUCCAUGUCGUACAUCUGUGUCUCCUCGACUACUGUGUAUAUAAACUUGCAUGCGUGUAUGAAAACGUAUUUUUCUUCUUCUACCAGAAUAAGGUUUUUUUAUUUUUAAAGUUAAUGUGUCACUAUAGUUAGUUUUUGUUUAGCCAUUUUGUUGAAGUGAACAAGGUGUGUGCUCAGAUUAAUAUAGAUGUGUAUAUUAUUGUGAAAGGAAUGCCAAUCGUGGGCAGGUCUAUAAACAUGAAGCUGUGUAGAGAAAUAUUUGCCAAACGAUGCCCUGCGAAUAUUGUUUUAAUUAAAGGGGAUUGGCAGGAAUAGCUGGCAGUGCUGUUUAUGAGCGUCAAGUAUAUGAAAUAAAGAAUGAUGUUCUCUAGCAAAUUAAAUCAUGUGUUCCUCUGGAUAUAAAGCUACACAACAUUGAGUACAUUGCAGCUUACAUAAAUAGGUCUACUGCAGGUCAUUUUGGAGACAAUAUUAUGUCAGAGUGCAUGCACACUGGAGAGCAUGGGCGCAAAAACACUACACCUCAAUAACAAUAGCAUUGUUUAGUUCUCACAAUCACA